RNAcentral lists this non-coding RNA (31 nucleotides) under Mus musculus (house mouse). Lineage: Eukaryota; Metazoa; Chordata; Mammalia; Rodentia; Muridae. The record is from RNAcentral.
GGCACUUACAGAAUUAUUGUUGGAACCUGCA